UGUGUGUGUGUGUGUGUUGGGGAGGACCACUUUUGUCAGCCUGCUAAAUUCUUCAUUGACUAGUUUUUUCCUGAUAGCCUACAAUUUGAAUUAGCACACAACCAAAACAGUAAAAUUUGCCAGAACUCAUUUACUUCACACUCCUUAACUAUGAUACCAUGAUAUCUUAUAAAACUUGCAUAUUAAAUCAUGGUUACUUGUG
Molecule: unclassified non-coding RNA, 202 nt
Filed under: Hevea brasiliensis (rubber tree)
Lineage: Eukaryota; Viridiplantae; Streptophyta; Magnoliopsida; Malpighiales; Euphorbiaceae
Source: RNAcentral